UAGGAAAGCAAUAAUUAUUGUUGUCAUGCUAAAUGUAUUUAUUUGGUUUAUUUUGUUGAUCAAGUCUAACCUUGAUCACAAUUGAUAAAAACAAAAGAAAGACAGCAUAGUCAUCAGUGAAGAUUCGAUCUAAAUAGAUGUCUUUUGGUGGUUGGUACCAGGUCACAGGAUUUCCCCGUCGCAACCCACGGAGUUUACAGAGCGGAAACGCUCUAUCGAAUACUUAACCAACAUUUCCUCCUGUUCCGGCUUCUGGCGUUUUCUCAACAGACAUCGGUUGAAACCCACCAUCCCUGUAUGUUUACAUUAACAUGAAAAUGGAAAAAACUAAAUUGUUAUUUGUCCGAUGUUGCAAUUUAUUGACAAUUAUUGAAAAUUAUGUCUGUUUUGAUAUGCGCAUGUACGCGUCAUGAGCAUUGUCAUAGAGUUGUGCAACCUCUCUAUGUGCAGUGGGAUAAUAAAAGGGACUUUCCGUGACUAUAUUGGAAUAUACGCCGAUGCAAAUGAGCAGUCGUCGCUUCCCUUAUAUACCAACUACUAUGUGAGGCCCAUCAUGAACGCUGUGAGUUUGGAGAAGGCGGCUAAUGAUCUCCCAGUGCGCCUCUUUACCCAGACAGCACGGCAGGAUGAUUCAGCAGUGGCACGGCCGUGAUGCUGACAGCACUGUUACCAAAAUGACUCAUCCUGAUGAUGAAGCCAAAGAAAGAAAAAGGAGAGAGAACCUCAUGAGCUCAAGACGGUUGCUGCCGAUUCUGCUGUGUCAGCCUUUUUCCAUGCUGAAGAGGACACGGAUCAAAGCAUGAUAAACCUUCUCACCCUCCUUUAUAAAACAAGUAUCCAUUCAUUAAUCACUACUCACCCAGCACAAAUAAACAGCUGCACCAAGUAUCGACUAUAUGUAUUGUAAAGCGGAGCAUGGUCCAAUAUGGGCAGCCACAAUGUGUCUCCCCUCUUUUCUCUAGUUUGGCCUCAAAACUGACAGUUGGUCGAUUAGUUAACUAAAACAAAUGCAAGUAAUUCAUCAUGGAGACAGGGUUUUAAUGUAAACAGUAUGUUGCCCCUAGAGGUUGUUUCCAUGACGAUGAAGGGAGGAGAUGAGCUAGAUGGAUCUCUGCAUACGAUUUAUGACGCCAAUAAAUCAGUAUAAAUGCAUAUGGUUCCACGACUGACACACACACACACACACACACACACACACACACACACACACACACACACACACACACACACACACACACACACACACAAUGUCUUUUAAGAAGUUCCCAAAAAUAACAAUGUGUCCAGUUCAUUAUGUUAUGUAAUUGACAGAGGCAGAGGGACUGGAGGGCAUGAAGUCACUUUAGCCCUUUCGUAUGACGAUGCUACACUUUGGAAACAGACAGAUGGCUCCUGUUCUCCACACCCUGGAAACUGUUACUGAUUUUGUAAUAUAAAAAAACCAAACAGUUAUGUUAGUAGUAAAGGGGACUGGAUCCACCUGUUAAUUAGUAGGGAAAACUCAGUUGUCAGAGCCCAGUAGAUGGAUCCCCACCAGGGGGUGUGUGGGGGGUAAAGCUGCUAAUGAUGGCUAUUAGACACCUUAUUAAUGUACUCCUUUGGAAACGUUUCUUCAUUUUCUGUGAUCCGACAAUAAUCUGUGUAUUCUGUUCACUGUGGGCCGACCACAGUUAAAAGCGAAUGCAGUUUAUGAUAUAAUGUUUGGUAAAAUGACAAAAGCCUUUCAGAGAAUAACAAGGACACAUGUAAAGUGCCUUUUGUGUGGUCAUUGUUUUUAUAUUGUCAUUAAACAAUACUGUGUCAUACAUUCUUAUAGAUGUGCGCCUGAUACCUUGAAUGACUCAGGAGAGAGGCAACCUGCCACACUAACGGAUCGAGUGGACAGCCUGCUUGGGUAACGUCAUCAGUAGCUGCCCAUAUGCUGUGUUUUUAGAGGAGUUCAAAUACACAGCUCCGGGCCUG
This is a long non-coding RNA of Salvelinus fontinalis (brook trout), 1962 nucleotides long. RefSeq lists it as uncharacterized. The transcript has 3 exons. Lineage: Eukaryota; Metazoa; Chordata; Actinopteri; Salmoniformes; Salmonidae. The record is from RefSeq and is a predicted model, not a curated record.